RNAcentral lists this ribosomal RNA (253 nucleotides) under uncultured bacterium. Its description in RNAcentral is "partial 16S ribosomal RNA". It matches the Rfam family "Bacterial small subunit ribosomal RNA", at positions 524 to 776 of the family's 1533-position model. The record is from RNAcentral.
UACGUAGGGUGCAAGCGUUGUCCGGAAUUAUUGGGCGUAAAGAGCUCGUAGGCGGUUUGUCGCGUCGAAUGUGAAAUCCCGGGGCUCAACCCCGGGUCUGCAUUCGAUACGGGCAGACUAGAGUUCGGUAGGGGAGUCUGGAAUUCCUGGUGUAGCGGUGAAAUGCGCAGAUAUCAGGAGGAACACCGGUGGCGAAGGCGGAUCUCUGGGCCUUACCUGACGCUGAGGAGCGAAAGCAUGGGGAGCAAACAGG